AGAGUUUGAUCAUGGCUCAGGAUGAACGCUAGCUACAGGCUUAACACAUGCAAGUCGAGGGGCAGCAUUGGAGUAGCAAUACUUCAGAUGGCGACCGGCGCACGGGUGAGUAACACGUAUCCAACCUGCCGCUUACUCGGGGAUAGCCUUUUCGAAAGAAAGAUUAAUACCCGAUGGUAUAAAGAGUUCGCAUGUUCUCGUUAUUAAAGAAUUUCGGUAAGCGAUGGGGAUGCGUUCCAUUAGAUAGUUGGCGGGGUAACGGCCCACCAAGUCUACGAUGGAUAGGGGUUCUGAGAGGAAGGUCCCCCACAUUGGAACUGAGACACGGUCCAAACUCCUACGGGAGGCAGCAGUGAGGAAUAUUGGUCAAUGGACGAGAGUCUGAACCAGCCAAGUAGCGUGAAGGAUGAUUGCCCUAUGGGUUGUAAACUUCUUUUAUAAGGGAAUAAAGUGAGGGACGUGUCCCUUUUUGUAUGUACCUUAUGAAUAAGGAUCGGCUAACUCCGUGCCAGCAGCUGC
Molecule: ribosomal RNA, 519 nt
Filed under: uncultured bacterium
Lineage: Bacteria
Description: bacterial SSU rRNA
Rfam family: Bacterial small subunit ribosomal RNA
Source: RNAcentral